Molecule: long non-coding RNA, 606 nt
Organism: Sphaerodactylus townsendi
Lineage: Eukaryota; Metazoa; Chordata; Lepidosauria; Squamata; Sphaerodactylidae
Exons: 3
Source: RefSeq, a predicted model, not a curated record
AAGGCCUCCAGGGGAGGGGAGGCCACUUCCUUUCUUCACGUCUUUCUUCCUUUUUGGGAUCUGCAGACUGGAAAGUGGCAGCCCCUUCCCGGAACACGUGAAGGUGGAGAAGAGCUGCAAGUCUACUCAUCUUGAUAAAACUGGAUGGACAGAAUUCAGAAACGGGGCCAGAACUGGAAGAAGGCUGUCUUCAUACCCAAGUGAGUAAGGGAAACUUUUCACUGUCAGAGGCAACCCAAUUGGAGAAGAAAAUGGAAGAGCAGGACCUAGGAGUACCUGGACCUGGCAAGAGAGCAAGGAAGGACCCCUGUCUCCUCCAAGCUAGCUGUGGUGUUGAAUUCUGGGAGAGAGCUGUUCCAGAGGUCUGGGAUCAGGAGACCUUGAACUCAGAAGUACUUUGCCGAGACUUCUGGCAGUUCUGCUACCGUGAUGCUGAUGGGCCCCGAAAGAUUUGCAGCCGGCUCCAUGGGCUUUGCAAGCGCUGGCUGAAGCCAGAGAGGCACUCCAAGAAGCAGAUCCUGGACCUGGUGAUCCUGGAGCAGUUCCUGACCAUCCUGCCCCAGGAAAUGCAGCGCUGGGUGAGAGGAUGUGGGCCGGAGACCUGUU